CUUGAAUCAUAAAUAUAUUAAAAAAUCUAGAAUGUAAACAAUAUAUUAAUUAUCAUAAUAAAAAGCCAAUAAAUAAAAUUUUCUGCAUGGAAAAUUAUUGUGUAUCUUCAGUUAGUUCAAGUCUGCUGUUGUAUUUUUAUCAAACAGCUGCAGCUUUGUAGGAACAUCUGUUGCUCGUUGAUGCCAAGGGACAAAGUAUUAAGGUGCUUUUUCUCGUCAUGUGAAAGCAGUAGUGGAGUGGGCUGGUAAGUGCCAUUGUGUAUUUGUAUAGUAAUAUCAAGUCACCAAUUACAAUCUCUAAAAGUAAAGCAAUCAAAAUGGAGGGUUACCAUAGGCUCCAUCUGUGAGGCUAAAGUAAGAUUUCUCUUUUACCUCAUAUAGUCACUCAGAACAGGGACAUUUACUUUCAUUUCUGUCUUUAUUCUAAAGUGAUUUGAGCAUCUUUAUCUUCUAAGAAGACUCCCUGAAAACUCUCUACGCUACAGGAUAUUGUGGAGUGGGACUUUUCCAGUGUCUUCUCCUGAUAGUGUUUGACUGCUUGCCAGUGACUACCUAAGCUUCUCACUUAGGAGUCUGAGCCUUGCAGAGGUGGGAGAAUUUGCUUCAGAUCUCUUCUGUGAACAUGGUACAGGUAAACAUACCUUUGCCCAGGCUGAAUAUUCUAGUCACUGGUCUAUGGAAUAUGAGCAAACUACCAUUUUUUUCUUCAGAAUUGAGUCUAACACUAUUGUCCAGGACAUUUCCUUAGACAGUUUAAAGCAAAAUACGUAAAACACCAUAAGCACGGGGAUUCCCACCUCUUUUCUCUCAGCUGAGUGUCCUAUCAUUUCAGAAAGAAAGCAACUCAGAAUGCUGCAUGCUAAGUAUCGAUGUGUAGUCUUAAUCUCUGUGACUUUACUUGCAGCUUGAACCCUGAGUGUGUUUUGGCAGGAAUCGUGCUACCAGCCAGCCAGUCAAACCAGGGCUUGCUUUGGCCUGUGCAACUGAGGCAUCUUCAGGUGAAAGAUAUGCAUCUCCUGAGUUGCAGGAGAAAUAAGGGAUCCCUUCACCGAGUUGCCUGGUUGUUUUCUGGAAUCACCGGAAUGAAUUAAGAACUCUGCUGCAACCGACACUGUGUUACCUCUGCCUCGUUCUGUCUGGUCACAUAGCUCCACCGAGAAGUUCUCAGUCUAUCUUUUGUCUUGAUAAGCCAAGUUAAUAAUUUAUUCUUACUCUUUUCAUUAUGGUUUUUCUACACUGGAGUUUUCCUAUUGAUAGAUUCUGUAUUAAACAAGAUAUUUGUUAUCUUACAAAUGUUAGUGCUGGAAUAACUUUAUACUUAAUAAACAGUGAAAUACAUUUUUUAAUCCA
Molecule: long non-coding RNA, 1350 nt
Filed under: Apteryx owenii (little spotted kiwi)
Lineage: Eukaryota; Metazoa; Chordata; Aves; Apterygiformes; Apterygidae
Description: lncRNA (ENSAOWG00000012798.1)
Source: RNAcentral